UAGGGAAUCUUCGGCAAUGGACGGAAGUCUGACCGAGCAACUCCGCGUGAGUGAAGAAGGUUUUCGGAUCGUAAAGCUCUGUUGUUAGAGAAGAACGUUGGUAGGAGUGGAAAAUCUACCAAGUGACGGUAACUAACCAGAAAGGGACGGCUAACUACGUGCCAGCAGCCGCGGUAAUACGUAGGUCCCGAGCGUUGUCCGGGUUUAUUGGGCGUAAAGCGAGCGCAGGCGGUUCUUUAAGUCUGAAGUUAAAGGCAGUGGCUUAACCAUUGUACGCUUUGGAAACUGGAGGACUGGAGUGGAGAAGGGGAGGGUGGAAUUCCAUGUGUAGAGGUGAAAGGCGUAGAUAUAUGGAGGAACACCGGUGGCGAAAGCGGCUCUCUGGUCUGUAACUGACGCUGAGGCUCGAAAGCGUGGGGAGCAAACAGG
This 429-nucleotide ribosomal RNA is filed under the name Bacillota bacterium. Its description in RNAcentral is "Firmicutes bacterium partial 16S ribosomal RNA". It matches the Rfam family "Bacterial small subunit ribosomal RNA", at positions 355 to 776 of the family's 1533-position model. The record is from RNAcentral. Lineage: Bacteria; Bacillati; Bacillota.